This 253-nucleotide ribosomal RNA is filed under the name uncultured bacterium. Its description in RNAcentral is "partial 16S ribosomal RNA". It matches the Rfam family "Bacterial small subunit ribosomal RNA", at positions 524 to 776 of the family's 1533-position model. The record is from RNAcentral.
UACGUAGGGGGCUAGCGUUGUCCGGAAUCAUUGGGCGUAAAGAGCGUGUAGGCGGUCCGGUAAGUCCGCUGUGAAAGUCGGGGGCUCAACCCUCGAAUGCCGGUGGAUACUGUCGGGCUAGAAUGCGGAAGAGGCGAGUGGAAUUCCUGGUGUAGCGGUGAAAUGCGCAGAUAUCAGGAGGAACACCUAUUGCGAAGGCAGCUCGCUGGGACGUAACCGACGCUGAGACGCGAAAGCGUGGGGAGCAAACAGG